CAAAAAUCUAAAGCAGAUAGAAUCAUAGAGAAAAUGAAAGAUAUAUGUAUAUUUCUAGGUAACGUGAUGUGUACAGCUUUGAAUCACAUAUCUGGCAGAGUUCGGAGCCCACACUAGCGGUAGCUGAUCGGGAGUCCUCUAGGCAGCGGGGACACAUGGAAUCCUUCGUUUUAUGUGUGUGUCCCACCUUCGUCGUCGUCGUCGUCGUCGUCGCUGUAGCCGCCACGAUCGUCGUCGUCGUCGUCGCCGUCGCAGGUCGGCUCGAUAUAUGCGGGCCGAUUUUUCGUUUUGCCACCGACUUCACUGCUGCCUUCGGAUCUUUCCUUUUCCUGCGCGUUCUGUUACUCCGCUCCCGCUCACAGUAGAGCCCUUUUGCGUUAAGCCGCACCGCGUGGCACACACGGGGACAGCGAAACGAUGGAACGGGAUGGGACGGAACUUCGGGGGACUUCGGAUAGCGUAAACGUUCCUCUCUGUUCCUUUGGUUUCUCAUUCUCUCGCUUUCUCUCCCGUCUCAUCUUUACCUAUCUCCCUCGGUCUCUUCCUUGCUCCUUUUCCGCAGCCACGCACACCUUUCUGCGUUCAUCAUUCCACCCUCUCUUUUCUGUUCAUGUUCGAUCGUUUUACUCCCUCGACACACACUGAACGGUGGCUUUACCUCUCUCUCCUUUCGUCCCUGAUCCUCUGUUCACCGCUUUCGGGAUCGGUCUCUUUUCAAUGCUUUCCCGUUCCUGCUGGUCACUGUAAAGCGGGUGGGGUAUGCGAACGCCGCGAUACUAUGUUAUGCCUGCGGACCGCGGGUCUGACAUACUUUGUAUGUUAAUGCCACAUAAUGUCGGUUUUGUUCCUCUUUUCAGCAUUUAUUUGUUCGGCUCCUCGGAGCCUUAGCAGAGGCUUUAGCGUACGGACCAUAGUUCGUUCCGCGUCUUCGAUCGCUCGGCUGUUUGGCGAAUCGACUUUCCUUUUCUUCUUUUUCCUCAUGUCUCACUACGUCCUUGUCGAUAUUCAUCCAGAAGUUGUCAGAUCUUGGACUGAUGUCUCGCCUCGAGAUAAUCGAUUCCAUCGAUAUGACGUUGUGCCACUUGUCGCCAGGUAAAUGUGGAGACGAUCCACGAUCGUUUGAUAACACAAAUUCAUGGAUUCCUCUUCUAUCAGGUUCCAGUAUUUAUCAGUUCUACGUCGUGAUCCACUUCUCUUGAGUUUUCCUGCUCGGGAAUACCCACACGUGAAACUCGUCAAGAUAUUGUAUUGUUUAUUUUCAUCCUUCUUUUGUCGAGGAGAAACGUUAAUCGCCAGUUACGUCGUAUUCCACGAGACGAGGAAUUAGCUUAUCAGAAGAUUGCACUUGGGCCAACGUAACACUUCCCAGUUGUAUAAUUAUGCAAUAUGCGUAAGCAUCUAUGAAUUUCAGUAAAAGCUACAGCUGCUGAUAAUAAAUCUCGUCGAGAUGAUGCAAGUCCUUUUUGAACUUCGUUCUCUAAAUAAUUGAUGCAGUUUACAUUUCUACGAAUCAACGACGUCCUUGCUGUGCCAAGUCAUUAACUGUUUACGUCGACCAAUAUCUUGAAUAAUCGUAGCCAAUCGAUGAGUUCAAAGUUAAUUUCGCAGUCAGUAAUGAACGCGCGAGUUAAACAGCAACCAGCGUGGCGUCGAUAAACCUGUAAGAGCCAUUUCUGUUUCGUAAGCAACCUGUUGAAUCGGUGGAAAAAAAGAAGGUAACCGUCAUAAAUUUCUCGGUCGACGAAUUAGCGUGGUGGUGCCGAGUUUGGUUACCGAUUACGACCAGUAGCCACUAGCCACAUGCCGCAUGUAAUAUAGACCUGCUGGAACGCGAUCCCGCGUUGACAGGUGAUGCAGUUGCGGAAUUGGCUCUCGCAUCGAGCGCAUCUCACGGUGUUCGUGAGCGAAGUGCCUCGCCGUUGAUGUUUCGCUAGAGUACUUACGUAGGACGGUGGAAAAGAGAGAAAGAAAGAGAGGGUGAGGGAGAGGGAGGGAAAGGGCAGAAAAGCAAAGUAUCGGCGGAGCAACACAGAAGCGGCAGGGAACGGCAGUAGCGAGUAAACGCAAAAGCGCCCUCGCUCGGUCCCGCGCGAUGCAAAGACGGGGUAUAAAUAAGCGGCUGUCGUUUGCGGAAGCAGAAAACGGGCAAAAGGACAGAAAUAAAGAAGAAGUCCCAGAAGAAAGGGAGGCAGCGACAGAGAGAGGAAUAAAUAAGCUGGGCCGGGAGAGCGAGAGGACAGGUAAAAGUAGAAGGAGCCCGAGCAGUAGCAAAGGCAGAAGCAGAAGCAGCAACGGUUCCACCGUUCAGUCCCUUGCCGCUUGGUCGACCAACGUCCCGAUCUACUACUUUUGCGGUGUACGACCGUCCUCGCAUUGAAAACUUUCCAGCGUGUCCUGCCUCCGCUACGAACGCGGCAGGUGUACUUCUGUCUCGUUAUCCGGAAAGUCUCUUCCUCCUCGACGGGGACACGUUGUCGAGUAGAACUCGUAGAUCACUUCUCGAGGAUGUUUCGAAUGGAUUUUAGAGGACAAGUGAUUUUGUCGUGGGAGGAGAACUGAACGUAACGGAAGGCAGAUCCAUUUAACGAUCUUUGUAACGUUAAUGAAUGUAUUAGGUCGGUAAAUGAAAGAGUGCCGAAGGGAAUGGAGCUAACGAUUCAGUCCAUCCGACCCCCUUCAACACAUCCUUGCUACUUCAAUUACACUCGAAUAAGACGAUACGAUGCUCGUGCUUAGAUCUCCAUGUAUACUUUGUGCUUCGUUUAAACGAUAGAAAAAGAGAAAAUGAAACACCUCUUCCGGUGUGCGCGCAUUUCUAGAAAUCCGAGAGUUGGAGCUCGAAUCUCCAUAGUAUCGCGCUGGAUUAUCCGCCGUUGGAUCUAGAUACUAUUCAUGCUAAGCCGCAUAUCUGCAUACGCAUCGAGACACUUUUCGAGAGCACGUUACGCAGCCAUGCAAUGGCACCACGUGCAUACACGAGGAGGGUCAACCUGCAUCCGCGUGUACAGCGGCACCGUGUGUGCUUCUCGCCUUCUCGUACAUGCACACACGUAUGCGCACUUACUACGUUACCCCCCAAUGCUGGCUGUGAAACGGAACACAACAGAGCAGAGUAGAGCAGAGCAGAACAGAGCAGAGCGGAGCGGAGCGGAGCGGAGCGGAGCAGAAGAGAACGGAACGGAACGGGACGGAACAGAGCGGAACCGAAUGAAACGGAACAGAAGCGAACGCAGUAGAGAAGCGCAGGCUGACUGCAUGGCCGCAGCAUGUUUAUUGGCGCAUCUUGGAGUCUUAAAUCUUUAUGUUGUCUCCACGACGGGGUCUGCUAUCUCCCUGUCCCAUUGGCGGGACGGGAAGAGAAGGGAGAAUCGGCAGAAGCACGGAAGGGGUAAGAGGAACGGGAACAAAGAGAGAAACAAGGGGGAUUAGUGGCGAGAAGAGAGAGGAAAGCGCGACAGAUAAGAAAAAGAAACGAAAAGAGAAGCGGUGAAGGAACGAGAGGGAAGAAAAUCGGGAGAGAUAUAUCUCUCGGGUUGCGGUCGCGAAAUCGAGUCAAGCGUCCGACAACCAAACGACCAAGACGCAUCCACUGCAUUACGCACACAGAAGCCGCGAUUUCAAUGUGCCUCUAGAAAUGGUCGUUUGCAGUCGUACAGAGAAAACCCACGUGGUAAAGACCCCAGGCAGGAAUUAUUAAUGGCCGUAGGUGUUACCAGCGCGAAGAUUACCGCCUUUAGCCAGAUGCGAUAGAAUUGCAUCAUAUAAGGUUGACUCAACACGCGCUCCUGGUUCCUCCAGCCUUUUGUUACAACUUAACGGCUAUAUGGUUUAGAAAAUUAUCAAUCGAUAAAUUUCACGUUUAUCACAAUUCGCUUGUUAAUUUUGUUGUAACAUGAUUCUUAGGAAUCAUGCUACUCAUUUUUUCCUUUAAAUGAAUAUUAAUUUUACCUAUCACACAUGCCCUUUCAUUACAUUACUUUUGAAAGAUUUUGGAUCUUUGAUCGCUUUUUAGGUCCUAACGAUAGGUCCUACCAAUUUCUAUGCAAGAUGCACACGAUGCGUUGUCUAUAAAAUUAUAUAUAUACAUAUAACGUAGAAGACUCACACGGUCAAUUAUUAUUAGACCCGAACGCAUUGAUACUGUCUCAUUCUUUUAGUUUCUAUUUAUGUAGUAUAUUAAAUAGCUAUUAAAAACGUCAAAUUAUAUAUAUUCAAUUUUUCUUUUUUAAUUCAUUUUUGUCGAAUUUUAAAAAUUAAUAAUGUGCUCUGCUCAAUAAGUGGAAAUGAUUAAUAUGUUGAAUGAUAUGGGUGCCACCGGUGACAUGUAAUUGAUCCAUUGUCAAAUUUUUUUAUUACAUUUAUAAAUAGAAACUUUUUGUAACGCUAAUAAAAUGGCGUACACGUAUACUUCCUGUUUCAACAUAAAUCAAAGAGGUAAACGAGACAUGGCAAAAAAAAGUAACUAUCUUUUGAUCGUGAAUGUGAAGAGAUUAGUUAUUAGUCAUCUCUAACAGAUGAUGCUAAAAUUUUAAUUUUGAUUUAGAGUGAAAUACAAUCGUAUUUCCCUUGUGCUUUUUAUUUAACCCUCGGACGGCGGACCAUGAAGAGAGCCCCAAUUUUAAUGUAAUUUUCGAUUUCAUAUUAUUUUCAUUUUCUAUAUUUUACAUUGUUCCUUUAAAAAUUAUUCUUCCAAUACCUAUAUGAAUACUAUUCAUCUUUUGUUGAAAUAUUAUACAUUAAACUUUAGGAUAAUAUCCUUGUAUAUAUUUUGUAACUUUGGGUCUCGAUUGUCCCAGACUAUUCAAGAGUUAAGCUAUUAUAUCAAUAAUUUAUUGAUAAUGUUAAACGCCAUUUAUGGUGUGAUAAAGAUGAAAUAAUAUGUGUUAAAUUUUUGUAUAACGCAGAUUUUUUAAUUUAUUUAUAAUUUCUUUUGCGAUAAGGGUAUAUUACUCAACUGAAAUAAAUAGAAAAAGAAAUUGAUCAAUAUACAUAUGGUAACGUUUAUCUGAUAUGUAAAAACCUGAUUUUAUGCGUAAAAAACUAUAUAUUUCAUUGAGUGUAUUAACUUGAUGAAAUUGAUAAUCAUUUAGAAUUGAAAUUUAUGCUAAAUAAAUGUUAUUUCAGCGUUUUUUUUAGCAUUUCUUGUAGUCUAGAGAGAUUAUAACGAAGUUAAAAUUAGUUUCGGUUUGGAAAUCAAGUACACUUGUUUCAACAUAAGCGUUUAACACUCAUCAAUCUGGUAAAACUGUAGGAUACAUCUAUACAGUAUUUCUCUUAAGCUUAUUAUAUAAUAUAAAAUAAUGAACGGUUUUUAGAUUAUAUAGAGCGGCACGUAUUCUUUGGUUCUUUGCUGAAGGGGUGAAAUCAUUUCUUAACACGUUAAUUACCACAGUAAAAGUAGACGUGUUUAAUAAGACAUUUUUACUUAAAUUUUACUUUUUACUUAAUAUUAUUAGUAUAAUAGUGAGGCUAUCAGAAUUUUUUGUUCCUUUUUUUAAAUUAAUUAUUCGAUACAUAUAUUGGGCUGUUUGGAAAAUUUAGCCAGAAGGCUGAAAAGUUCUACAUGAAUAGAAUUAUAUAGUUACUUAAAAGAUGGCAAUAAGUUAUUGAAAAAAAAAAAAAUGGUGCAUAUCUUGAUAAAUAAUAUUUAGGAGUGUAUGGGUACCCGAAAAUUCGGAUAGCCUACGAAAAUGAUACAAUUUCAUCUCCCUUUUCCCAUCCGACUGAAAGUUUGGUAGCUUGAAAAAUUGUCCAUUCUCACCGUUCUGUCUGCGGCAAUAUAACGAGAGUCUACUGUAAUUUCAAAUUUAAACCAAAUUUGCGUUUUCAGUAUUAAUCUUGAAGUAAAUGUUAAUAAUAUUAAUCUCAGUAAAUGUAAAUAAAUAACUUAUUGGAAAUACAUAUUUUAGAUGCAAAAAUAUAAUAUAUUUUCAGUAUUUUUUAAUUGAUGAGCUUGACAAACUUCCUCCUUGGUCCUUCUAGGGUUAACAGGUUAAAAAUACGUGUAUCGCUUAUUUUCAGUUUAUAAAGUUUUAUCAAAAUGAAACUUAGCAAGAAAAAGUCAGUAUGCCGGCUUAAGUUAUUAGAAACAACAUCCAUCUUUCGAAAAGUGAACAGAUUCUCUGCUGCGAAUGCACUAUUAAGAAUAAGAACAGUUAAUUUUCUGAUUUCAUAUUGCAAGCUUUCUAUUUACUAUUUUGUCAUUGGUGAAACUGGAACCUUCUUCAGGGUGAGCCAGGUCCCUUAGAAAUUUUUUAAUUUUAGGGUCUUGGAAACCUGAAAUUUUUGAACUUUUAAGUUUUUAGGAUCUUGAAUUUUGUAAUUUUAGUAAUUUGAAUUUUUUAAUUCUGAUAUUUAAAGUGAAAUUAAAGCUCACAUUUUUAGGGCUCAUCGUGGCCCUUCCUUUGUUCCGCUCAUGUACAUACUUUAUAUCAAAAUAGGAGAUAUAACGGAAAUAUGGACCAUUUUUCUUCAUUAAAAGUGUAAAAAGCGCAUGAGCGAAAGACAAAAAUGGUAGUUCAUAGUUCUGAGAUAAUGUAUCAGUAGUUUCAAGUAAAAAUUCAAUUAGUUUGAAGUUAUGUCAUUUUUACGAAAUAUUGUCAAAGACGCGGUUUGAGAAAGUGGGUGGUCUUAUGGACCAGAGCAUAAAAUUGAGAAACACGUAACAAACAGAUAGUUUCUUUUUAUAGAUCUUGUAUUUUAAAAUUAGAACAAGUGUUUUUGCGUCUAUAGUAAUUAGAUGUGAAAUCUCAAAAUUAUUUGGACACUAAUGAUUAAAAGAUUUGAUAAUCAGAAAUAAUAAGAAAUAAAUAAUUAAUUAAUGAAAUUUAAGAUAGUCUUUUAAUGGUGACACCUCAUAGCAUUUCGGUCUAAUCGUAAGAUAAUCUAACAAUCUCGCUCAGAAUGAGAAAGAUAUUUCCAGAUAAUUAAAUAAAGAAUUUUGAAGUUUAACUUUUUAUCUAAUUAUAUUUUUAUAAAUAACAUAUUACAUUUGUUAAUUAAUAUGAGAAAAAUAUUGACUAAUUUUACCUUAAAAGACUUUUCAAGUGAACAAAAACAGACGCUUUCCUUUUUUAGCCAAAGUAAACAUGCAAAUCACACCAGCUCUAUCUGGUGGCACUAGAAGGUACUAAUUGUUGUUUUUAUUGCAGCUUCUGACAGAUUACAACACUUAUCUAACAAUAUAAGAAUCCGGUCCAUAUUUUCUACCUUUUCUACUAAUAUUUUUUUAUUUUAAUUAUUCCAGUACAAUAUCAAAUUUAUUGUAUCAUUCAGCAGUGAUCCUCCCAAUAUUCAACGUGUUAAAUAAUAAUCCAAGAAAUAAUUUUAAGAUAUUUCUGAUAUCUGUAAGAGUACAAAAUAUAUCAAAUACAGGAAUUUUUAACCCAUUGCAACAAGGAAGACUUUAACUCAAAGUUAUGAGUUAAUAAAAAUCGUUCUUUCCGUAGGGGGUGUCUGUUGGCAAUGUUGGAAACGUGGGCGUAAAGGUGCUUUCGAGUAUGGCUGCUGACAUAACAGUGGGUAAGAAAAACCAGGAACGAUAAAAUGUUAUCAGCAGCGUCGAAGGCGGUGGUAAGUUUAUGGCUGAUACGUGCUGUUUAUCGAACUAUGCUGCGUUUAGUUAAUUAAACGGUACGAAUGCCUGUCGCUACCGACCAGAAACUAAGUAAGCAUAGCGCGGACGAAUAAUUAUUGGAAAUGCAAAAAGGAAAAGGAAAAGGAAAAGGAAAAGGAAAAGGAAAAGGAAAAGGAAAAGAAAAAAAAGAACAGAAUCUCAAGAUCAGUUUAUAGCAUGUUGAAUGGCGCUAUGAAUACACGCACUUGAAUUUCUCUUUAAUUUGCAAGAGGUGGCGCCACGAGAGCCUAAACAGUUACAAUACGUAGAUCAAAUUCGAUCAAAUUGGCAUGAAUAUUUUUAAUUUGUACAAAACCCUCUUUUAUUUUUAUAUCAUAGCAAGUCAUUAUAACAACGAAGCUUGGGUCAAUCGUGGUUCAAACUAACAAAAUAUGUGCAACGAUAAUGUCAACCUAAUUAUACAUUUCACUUAAACUCUAAAUCUAAAGUGAAAGUCUCACAUAUUGGAACUAUAAUUUUUAAAGGAAUAGUGUACAAUCUGAAAAAUAGAAACAAUAUGAAGUAUAAAGUUAAAUUAAACUUGUGGCUCUUUCCAUGGUUAGCCGGGCAAGAGUUAAUACAAAACGUAGUUUUUGGAGUUGUACCGGUCUUCAAUUGACCGAUUCGAUUGUGCUGAAACGGUGUAGGAAGACCGGUACCAGAGGGUUGAUGCAGCGAAGAAGAAAUUCCUGGUAUAGGAAGGAGGUAGCGGCGGACUUUGACGAUCCCUUAAGUGAAAUAUCAUCGACAAUCACUCACGUGAGAUGUUUAUCGGCCGGUAACGUGAUCUCUGACCCCACCAAACUCGGGAGCAGUUUUAUGCGAGCUCCCGCGGUGCGUGAAUAUACACCCGGUGGGUGCUGGCUGCCGGUGCUUCGUGGAGGAGGACUCGGUGAGAUCGUUGGAAGAUCGAGGGAGGAAUGUAACGUGGUUCGUGGCUUCGGGAUGGUUGGGAAUCACAGAAAAGUAUUUGGCCGGCUUCGCGUGGAAGCUGAGGCACGACGUUCCACACGCAGCUACGCGACUGCCAAUAAAUAAGCAUCGGCAUUUCGCGCGCGAUUCGCGCGUCUUAUCGAGCCACUUGGACCGCAGAGAGGAUGGGCUACUUCCGAUCGAGACGAUCGAAUCGAUGCUCCCUUAUCUCUGUACGGUCGCUGCGCUGAAAAGGCUCUUUCAUGGAUCAAGGAAAACAAGGUAACUCUUCGAAAUGAUGCGAUACCAUGUUUGUGUAUUAAGCUCGCUCGAGAGCUUUCGAAAUCUAAUAGGUUGUUAGGACUUAUUAGUAACACCCCGGAGUAUGUAUUUUGCAAAGUUUCGAGAAUGUAUGUAAUAAUUACAUAAAUGUAAUUAUACAUAGUCCGAAUAGGAUAGUCCGAAAUUCAUGGUGCAGAUGGGGUCAGGGUGAUUCUAAGAAGGCUUAAAAGAAGUCGAAAAUCAAGAAUAACGAGAUUGCGUGGGAAGCCUCGUUUUCAAGAAAAAUGCAUUUGAAAAUCAGUUUAAGUACGCGUGUACUUAACUAAUAACCGAUAUUACCGAUUCUACUAUGGAACGUUGCUGUGACUGUUUGUACAUACACAUUAAACGUAAUAAAUAAUGAUAAUAAAGUAACAAUUGCACUGUUAGUUGAGCUUAGUUUAUUACUUAUUCGUUGUUGAAAAUGUUGACCAUUUUCCCGUAUGCAAAGUCGUAGUUUUUGAACUAAAUUUUGUCUUACUGUUUACUGCGUAUCCCAGAUUUUUAUUUCUUCAAAUGAGUCGUUGUUUUAUUUUUUAAUGUUCAAGACUUACAAUGUCUUCGGAAUAAACUAUUCAUUUUACGUUUUCCCACAGAUACCUAAUCGAGAAAAUCGAGAAGAUAAUAAAAAAUAAUCUGUAACAUCGGUUAUAUUAUUAGUUAAGUACACGCGUACUUAAACUGAUUUUUCAAAUGUAUCUUUUACAUUUUUUCUGCAGCAAACAAAGUUUCCUGCGCAAUUUCGUUAUUCUUGAUUUUGUCCUAUUUUGAAUCAUAAAAUCAUCGUGACCCCAUUUGUACCACAAAUUUCGGACCACCCUGUAUUUUUAAAUAAAGAAAUAUUAGUUACUAAUGUUAUAAUUUGUUAUCCAGUAAGGUAUUAUAUGGUCAUUAUGCGGAGGCAUUUAAACCCUAACUUUGAUGGUAAGCUGUGAUCUAUAAAUUUUUCUUAAUUCUGAUCUAUAAUAUUAUAUCUUGGAUAAAAACGAUUUUAAAAACAAUGAUCACUUAUAAUAAGGUCCGACUUUUUUCAAGUUGGUGCAAAACAACACACGAGGACUAAUUCAGUGAUCACUGUCUUCAAAAUAAUUCUCAUUCAAAAUAAAUUAAAAUUGGUUAACAAUUUAGAGAUUGCGAAUUACCAUCAAAGUUACCAUUUAAAUAUCUCUAUAUAAUCAUUUAUAUAAAUGUUAAUAACCAGUAUUUAUUUAUUCAUCAUUAAUUGUUUGAAACUUUGAAAGUGUUGUGUGAAUAGAAGAUAAUCGUUUUCUACAAAUUUUUUAACAAGAAUUGACCUAGUAUACUGACCGAUGACAGUUUUCUUAUGCUAUUACAAAUCAGUUCGAAUAUUUUAUUAUAUUUCAAACCAUCCUCUUGUAUGGAUAUACUUUGCAAUUUUUGAUGUGAAUGGAUUAAUGGUGUGUAAUGAUGUCACAUAGAUUGCGUUUUCAAAUUGCGUUUUAGAAAUGGAGGUUGAAAGAGUUUUUUGCCAUAUUUGGUAAAUCAGUGAUUAUUAAUUUGAUAAUGUAAAAUGGUAAAAGAAUUGGCGUACUUGAUUGCCGACAAAAAUAGUUUACAAGUGUUGAAGUAAUUGGAGAGUUUAUUAUUUAGAUGACUUUAUGGUUUUCUGUACAACUAUACCCUCGCGAUCUUACAAGGGUUAAGUCGAAUAGUUUUGAUUAUGCUUUAAACUAGAAUUCUUGAAAUUUAGAGAACUGUUUCGAGGUGAACUUUGUUGAACAUGACUGUGAAUGAGAGUGUUUACAGAAAACUGUAUAUAAUUCACUUUCAGCCGAUCAAAAUAAUUUUCGACCUGAUCCGAGUAUCGGGUACCCGAAAGUUUUGAGUUCUCGUACAUCGAUACUUUUAAGAACUCAAUACGACCCGAUCUAACCCGAUAUUGUAGGGUUUUCGUACACCUCUACUUUUCAUUAUUUGUUUUUAAAUUGAUGAGUUUUUUAACUCUCGGACGGCGGACCAUGGAGAAAACCACAAUUUUAAUUCACUUUAUCAUUUUUUAAAUUGAACACUGUCUCUUAAAAAUUAUUGUUCUAAUAUAUGAAUCUCUUUCAUUAAAAAAUUAGAUAUACAUUUAAUUUUAGGUUAAUACUUUUAUGUUCGUUUUGUAAGUUUGGAUUACAAUUGAUUCAGACUGUGUUGUUCAAGGGUUAAAAUACGAUUGUAAUUAUUAAAGUCGUGUUUCGAGAUAUUUGAAGUUAAGAUUUCUUUCAUUAAUAGAGCCGCAAUAUUGAUAAAAAGUUUCUAAAGUCGAUAUACUAAAUGAACUUCAUUAUCAAUGCAGAAUAAAAUAUUAUUGAAUAAGAACUGGUAAAAUAUUUCUCAAUUUAAUUUUUAUGUACCAAAAUUUAAUUUUCAAUAAUUUUAUACAAUUUUUUCUAUUCACAAACAAUAACGAACUUUUAACAUCCUUAAUCUUGGCAUUUUGUAAGAUAAUGGGAGGAGGAAAAUUCAGUGUUAAUUUUGCAAACGUUUCCUUUCUUCUGAUGUCACAUAAAGAAGAAAAUAAAAAAUCAUUAGAUUCAUAUAUUUAUUAUUAUUUUAUAUAAAUUAAAAAUCCCGAACUUUUGACUUCGUACUUUUUUAAUGCAUCUUUGUAAUUAUAAAUCAAAUAUGCUUCAUAUCUGACUUUGAAAGCAAGAGGAUCUUUUCGACAGGGUUUGUAUACUCCAAUGUACCGAAGAAAUGUUUUAUCUUUUUCAAUUAGCAGUUUCUCGAAAAACUUUAUCUAUUUAAGCAGUUAUUACAGUAUUUCAUUGGUUAUACAUAUACAGUCAUACACUACUGAUGGAAAGUUUGGGAGCAAACAUUGCGAGAAUUUAAUAUGUACUUAUAAUACAUUCCUUUUAGUGAAAUUUCAAUGCCGUUCCUAGUUUUUCUUACCGAAUAUCCUUUCUGUAUUAAUGAACAAAUUUGCACUCAUUAUUCAAUAGUUGCCUUUUGUCAUAUUGUAACCUUUUAUAACAGCUACACCACACUUGAUUACACUUUUCAAAAUCUAAAGUAUUUUUAAUGUAAGAACAAUUUCUAACACCUAAUUACUUCAUAAGUCGUUAAAUAAAUGUACAGAUUAGUACUAGAAGUCCUAACAAGAUUUGUAGGAGUAAUAAAAAUGGCCAUUGUUACAAACGUGUACGCGAAUAGAGUCAGGAAAAUGGCUACAUACUGAAAUUUUCAUUCAAAUAGUAUUAUCGAUUUAUUCGAAAGUUAUUCGAACGUUACCUCAAAAGAUAGACGCGUUUCUGAACUUUCUGUUGAUAGCAUAUACAUAUAGUUAGGUCAAUAGAUUCUAACAAAUCGAAGAAAAGCUUAUAUUCAUAAGAGCUUCUGAACUUCACUUAAUUGGUCAUCGUCGACAGGGUGUUCCUAAGCGGGUAACAAGGUACCAUCGUUAAAUCGCGAAUUACCCUGUUGUUUUUUUCUUUCUGUUCGUAAAGGAAACAGGCUGACGUUUCUGGAAAGACGUCGGCUCGUUUCGAAAGAUGAUAAUUACGCUUUUACGGUACACGGCCAAACCCAAUCUACAUUGUGUCUACGAGGCGAGUUCUCUCGCGGCAAGACGUAGGAAAUCGCGCAACACUUUUAGGCUCCCCGGUACACGGGUUGCGAAAAAGUGAAAUGUGUUGUACCAUUGCGUUUCCAUUGUUGUGUAGAGACGUAAAACGGGGCAAGGUUGAAUUUUCGAUUGUCUGAAAAAAGGUCCCACAACGUUCGAACAUGGGCCUCGGAGUUUCAUACUCUACGCCGAGACACAUCUUUCUUUUUCCCGUUUCGCGAUCAUCGAACCUAUGUAUAUCCAACGGUCUCUAAAUCUCCGGAGGCUCGCAUCUUUAUGGCACGUUGUAAAGAUUAACCCACGAUACAAUUGUGCUUUUGCUCGGCGAUGUGGCUCGUAAUUUUACACGUUUGCAAUCACCAGUCGAGUCCGCUGUUCCGACUUGAAGCGUACACGAUAAUCUCUCUUGUGAUGUGUUGUUCAUCUGAGAGAAAGACAUUGAUUCGUUCGUGGGAUUACCACGUGUUUAAUCGAACUUUAAUGCACGAUGGGAUUUGCCAGUUAACAGUGGAGUCGAUUUGACUUGACGAUAUAGAGAAAUAUAAUACCUUCGUCGUAUACUUAUGACGUUACGUAACCAUUUAACACCCACCAGGACGUUAAGGAUCCGUGGCUAUUGUAGAAUCCUGAACGAAGCGAGCAGAGGGAGAAUCUGAGGGGGAUCCUGGUCGGUUGAAUUACGCCGAUGGAAACGGAAAGGGGAGAGAUCGAGGGGCCAGAUAAAAUUACGAGGACACGGUGAUGAAUAAGAGUGCAGCAAUGCGUCCCAAAAUGACUGGCAUAAGCGUCUGAAUGAGUCCCGUCCAAGACAUUCCACGUACCGUGCUCACGGUGACGAGCAAACGAGCAACGACGCAUCGUUUCCCAUUGUGAAAAUCCUUCUCGCCCGUUUCCUGGAGGGGCCAGGGGUUUCUCUGACCUUACCUCCCGUUUUCCGCUUUAAUUACGUUUGUCAUUUUGCGGCUGGGUGUCUCAUUACAAAGAAAGUUCGAAGUUUAACUCGACUGCUUGCGAACCUAGGUGGCCUCUUUCUGGUAACGGCACUAACCAACCCAGACCAGACAGUCAGCCAACAACAAUAACAACAAUAACAACAACAACAACAACAACAACGACAACAACGACGACGAAGAAACGAAGAAACGAACGAACGAACGAGCUAACCAACCAGCCAACCAACCAACCAACCAACCAACCAGCCAACCAACCGACCGACCAACCAGUCAUGAGCCCCCUUUUACCUUACGUAUAGCCCUCCGCGUGCCUCUCUUCGCAUCGCCGCUCUAGAUCUUCGGAUAAGAGCGAACACCAUUUUAGCGGUUCCUUACACACCAGACAUCCGUUCCCUUCCUAUAUAUGUAUAUAUGUGUAUACAUAUAUAUAUAUAUAUAUAUAUAUAUAUAUAUAAUAUGUGUGUAUACAUAUACCUCGGCCACGGGGAGAGCUCGCUGCGCUGCAUUUUCUCCGCGCGAAUGUGUCAAGCGACCGGGAAAAAGGAGAGAGACAGAGGCGGUUUUGCGAUGAAGGUGGGUGGGAGGACAGAAAAAGGACAAAGAGGUCGGUGGGAAGGGGAAAGGGGAAUGGGGGAGAGGAAUCACGGUGAGAUAGAGGAGAGAGAGGCAAACGAGUGGAAUAGAGAGAGAGGGAUACGGAGGCAUGUCAGCCGAAACCUUCUAAUCCCACGUACAGGUGUUUAAUUCGUUACGUGAGACCGGAGGAAGCAGAAAACGGGAUACUGUACCGUUUUCCGUGAUAACGAAUAAGGGUUUCGUUCCUCGUUGGUGUUAAUUAAACGUUGCCUUCGGUAAUUCCCUCGGAAACGACAUUACUCGGAUGAACAUCGUUUUCCACAGAAAUUUCGAUGGUCUUUCGAUGUUCUUGACGAAACGAAUGAAUGCGGAAGUUUGGUAGUUUUGUAGAUCGUUAGUCGUGGUGGGGAACGGGUCGCAUCCGGGUUAACGUAAUUACAAAUUAAUUUGGUUUUAUUAAGUAGCUCGCCACCACGCACGUACGCGCCGCUUAUCUUCGAUGUUGUUUCUAGAAACACUGUAUUCGGGUUAAUUCUGCAUUUAAUUGGCGACUUAACCGUACAUCCACUUUUAUUCGGUACACCGUGAGAAGAAAGAUAUUAAUUUUUCACGAGUAACUAGAAUUCCCGCAAGAAUUUGCACUUUAUGGAAACACGGACAGAUGAAGAUAAGGUUGGCGAUUGUGCGCGAUGGCGGCGAGGAUGAUCUGAAAUAGUUUACUUGUGAAAUACGAACAAGGCGUAUCUUUUUCUUAUUGAAUACUUUGUUAUUUUAUUAAAAUUUAUCAUCACUUAAACUUAUAUAAAUAAAGUACUUAUAUAUUUAAUACGACCAUUUUAAUUGAUCUUUGAUCAGCGAAGUCUGGGUCAGUAUAGACCUAAGUGCACUUAAAAACAAAUAUGUAAAAGGAUAUUGAUCUAAAGUUAAGUGUAUAAUAUUUAAACGAAAGUUUUAUAAUAUGUUGGAAGAAUAAUUUUUAACAGGACAAUAUCAAAUUUAGAAAAUGAAAAUAAUAUGAAGUACAAAAUUAAAUUAAAAUUCAGGCUCUCUCCAUGUCCAUCAUUCAUGGGUUAAAGGUAUUCUAGAACUCGAAACUAUCGGGUCAGGGUUAUCGAAAGUAUAGAUGUUCGAAAACUCUAAAAUUCGUGUACCCGAACCAAGUGUUGGGUACUCGAAAUUUUUAGGUUCUCGUACAUUUCUAAUUUUAAUUAUUUACAAAAGUAUGCAAAAGUUACUCUAUUAUAAAUACAAGAAGAGGGCAUUUUAACGCUGCCUUGUUCUUUCUUUUGCUCUUUUUUAUUGUUAAAUUCUGAUUGAGUUAUUAUUAAAUACAAGUAUGCAAAAUUUUAGUCCUUUUUUAACGUUCCGAGUAAUUGUCUUAAAUUCAAAUAAAUUCCUGUUUUUGCGUUUUUGAAAGUUGUCCAUAGCAUCUAUGAAACGCAUUAACUGCAUAAAACUGAAUAAACCAAAUUGUAUAAUAUUACCAAAAAAGGUCAGAAAAUAAGGUAAAAUCUUAAAAAGAAGGGUGAAAUGUAUGUAGAAAACUGCAAUAUUGAACCAAUGAAUAAACUAUUCAUUAUUUCCUAUAACCAUUAAUUCUAUUGACAGACAUCGAUUCAGAAACGUGACAUCGUCCUUUGCACGUAAAUUAAACAUGAUUUCACACGAAUGGAAUUUAGUUAAAUAAUUUUUCAGCAGUUAUUAGUUUUAGGGCACACGUGCUCUUAUAAUUUUUUAGUUGUUUCAUAAUUCUUUGAAUUAUGUAAUGAAAAAUUUUAAAAAUCGAAUGUGAUCUCGAUAUUUGUUUUGAAAAAUUGAAGCAUAUUUUUUGCUAUAAUGGACGUUAUGUGGGUGACGCUUGAAUAUCUAUAAGCAUUCAUCACUUAUAUUGUUAGAAAUUCUUUCACUUAUCUAACUAAUUGUAAGUAGAAUUACUCGUAUUGGGUACUUGAAAUGAUAGUAAUAAAAAAUUACGAAAUAUUGUGAAAAUAAUAAAUAAGAUUUGUUAAAAAUGAAAAGAUGAUCAAGUUAUGUGCUUUUCUCUGUAUAAAAACUUUUCAAUUAUUAAAUUAAGGUUUUUCUUUUAUAUGAAAUAGUAGACCAAAGAAACAACAAUGUUUGUACCUGUCUCUACAAAUACACUAUAAAAAAAGAAAAAAGUAUUCUGUGUGUCCUCACCAUGUUAGGUGUCAGUGUCUGUUGGACAUACAAUUUACUAAUUACCCAUAGCUUGUCAAUAUAGAAUUUAGAAGAUGAACAAUAAAAUUGAAAGGUACACACAGUAGAAAAAGAGUGGCUUAUCUAAUUAUGUGUCCGAAUGCUUCGAGACUUGCAUAAAAAUAGUACGAAUUUGUAAUGGAAAGAAGAUGCGAAUAUAAUUGCCACUUUGAAUUGAACAUUUCUAAAUGUCUAUGAUCUCGUUUGGAAGAAGGUCCGUCUAGAGCGUAGAAGGUCGGUAAUUCGCAACAGAGAAGUCGAUUUCUCGUUAGGCUGGUACGCAACCGAGUCGAUUGCAAUUUGCGUACGAAUCCUUAGGCCAGCCGAUCGCACAUAAAAUCUAGCUUUGCAUGCUGAUAAGGGGAGCCCGUUCUUGUGUACGUUCUCGUAUAGGUGCAGGCCGCAAAGUUUCCUCGGAGUGUAUUGCGCCUCUUUUCCCUCUUCGUUCGCUUACUCGCUCGGCUCUCUUCUCUCUCUCCCUCUAUUUCUCCCUCUGUUUUCUCGGUUUUCUUUCUCUCGUCUAAGCGUGUACACGCGCACCCAGAUGUGGCCGCGUGUCGAUGUGAGUAGGGUUAUUAGCCCAGAAAGCAAGGCCCCUGCUUCCGGUGUAGGCACUUUAGUUGGAGAGUUUCUUAACCCCUUCUUACACGACUGCUGGCUGGCCUGGCCUAAGACUCUGCCCUGGCCUGGCCUGUUGUCGGCUGCGGGUGGUAGAAUGCCGUCCAGGGACACGACAAAACUCUCUCUCUAUGUGUGUACGCCUCUGGUAACGUGUGUAUGCCAGGGUUGCUAGGUCGCCACGGUGGUGAACCAUCAUUUUUCACCGUUAAGGUGGACCCGACCGGGAACGAUCGUAAAUUUUAAGAAAGACCAAAGAGAGCGCACGAUUCUGACUCCGGUGCAUGCGACCUUGCUUAUC
Molecule: non-coding RNA, 17087 nt
Organism: Osmia lignaria (orchard mason bee)
Lineage: Eukaryota; Metazoa; Arthropoda; Insecta; Hymenoptera; Megachilidae
Source: RefSeq, a predicted model, not a curated record